Molecule: long non-coding RNA, 275 nt
Filed under: Phascolarctos cinereus (koala)
Lineage: Eukaryota; Metazoa; Chordata; Mammalia; Diprotodontia; Phascolarctidae
Description: lncRNA (ENSPCIG00000033980.1)
Source: RNAcentral
AAGCCGUGGCGUCUAGGCUCUUGCCUGGGUAGCCUGAGCAGGGCACAGUCCCAGCUAGUGAGCGGAGCGGCCGCAGGCAGCCAAGAUGAGCAGCCGAGUGACUUUCUUCGAGGUAGAAAUCCUUGACUACAAGACAAAGAAGCAACUAUGCUUUCUGGAUAAGGUUGAACCACACGCCUCAAUUAAUGACAUCAGAUUGAUGUUCCAUAAAUUUUGUAAGUAGUGUGUAUGUUUUCUAAUGUAUGCCAAACACAGACACCCCAUUCAUUGCAACU